RNAcentral lists this ribosomal RNA (136 nucleotides) under uncultured eukaryote. Its description in RNAcentral is "partial 18S ribosomal RNA". It matches the Rfam family "Eukaryotic small subunit ribosomal RNA", at positions 1299 to 1458 of the family's 1831-position model. The record is from RNAcentral.
UGGUGGAGUGAUUUGUCUGGUUAAUUCCGUUAACGAACGAGACCUUAACCGGCUAAAUAGUCACACGAUUCUCGAAUCGUGACUGACUUCUUAGAGGGACUGUUGGUGUUUAACCAAAGUCAGGAAGGCAAUAACA